Molecule: transfer RNA, 73 nt
Filed under: Marmota monax (woodchuck)
Lineage: Eukaryota; Metazoa; Chordata; Mammalia; Rodentia; Sciuridae
Rfam family: tRNA
About the family: Transfer RNA (tRNA) molecules are approximately 80 nucleotides in length.
Source: Rfam by way of RNAcentral
GGAGGUGUAGCUCUUUUGGUAGAGUGUGUGCCUAGCAUGCUCAAGGCUCUGGGUUCCAUCCCCAGCACCACUC